Molecule: ribosomal RNA, 288 nt
Filed under: uncultured microorganism
Description: partial 16S ribosomal RNA
Rfam family: Archaeal small subunit ribosomal RNA
Source: RNAcentral
GCGCAGCAGGCGCGAAAACUUUACAAUGUGCGAAAGCACGAUAAGGGAACUCUGAGUGCCUCCUAAGGAGGCUGUUCAGGUGUCUAAAAAGCACCUGAAGGAAGGGCUGGGUAAGACCGGUGCCAGCCGCCGCGGUAACACCGGCAGCCCAAGUGGUAGCCACGUUUAUUGGGUCUAAAGCGUCCGUAGCCGGCUGGGUAAGUUCCUUGGGAAAUUUGGCUGCUUAACAGUCAAGCUUUCAGGGAAUACUGCCCCGGCUUGGGACCGGGAGAGGUCAGAGGGUACUCC